This 431-nucleotide ribosomal RNA is filed under the name uncultured bacterium. Its description in RNAcentral is "partial 16S ribosomal RNA". It matches the Rfam family "Bacterial small subunit ribosomal RNA", at positions 29 to 506 of the family's 1533-position model. The record is from RNAcentral.
ACGCACGCUGGCGGCAUGCCUCACACAUGCAAGUCGCACGAGACCUUCGGGUCUAGUGGCGCACGGGUGCGUAACGCGUGGGAACCUGCCCUUAGGUUCGGAAUAACUCCCCGAAAGGGGUGCUAAUACCGGAUAAUGUCUUCGGACCAAAGAUUUAUCGCCUUUGGAUGGGCCCGCGUUGGAUUAGCUAGUUGGUAGGGUAAAAGCCUACCAAGGCGACGAUCCAUAGCUGGUCUGAGAGGAUGAUCAGCCACACUGGGACUGAGACACGGCCCAGACUCCGACGGGGGGCAGCAGUGGGGAAAUUGGGAAAAGGGGGAAAGGCCGAAUCCAGAAAGGCCGGGGGAGGGAAGAAGCCCUUAGGGUUUUAAAGCUUUUUUCCCCGGGUUGAUAAUGACAGUACCGGGAGAAUAAGCCCCGGCUAACCCCGG